CGACGGUAGCUCCGACGUCGUCUACGGCGGUGCGAUUCAGGUCGUCUGGUUCGGCUCGGCUUCCAAAGCUUGGGUCGGUUCAGGUUCCGUUUCAGAGACGGUGGUGGUUACCUUUGGUGGUUCGUGUUUCGGCUCGGUCUUGAUUCGGGUCAGUUUCGGUCUCGCCGGAACCGGAGUCUUGACGGAACUCCUUCUUUCCAUAUUCGUUAAUAACCUGUCAAAACAAUGGAGGGUAAACGCUUACGUCCGUUCUCUUGGGCUUUCUCCAAUCCUUACUCGUGCGUUAAUUCAAGAAAUCCCCAUACGCAACCACUGUGA
RNAcentral lists this long non-coding RNA (318 nucleotides) under Helianthus annuus (common sunflower). RNAcentral describes it as "sRNA HanXRQr2_Chr09g0364121". The record is from RNAcentral. Lineage: Eukaryota; Viridiplantae; Streptophyta; Magnoliopsida; Asterales; Asteraceae.